Molecule: ribosomal RNA, 75 nt
Filed under: Pluralibacter gergoviae
Lineage: Bacteria; Pseudomonadati; Pseudomonadota; Gammaproteobacteria; Enterobacterales; Enterobacteriaceae
Description: partial 16S ribosomal RNA
Rfam family: Bacterial small subunit ribosomal RNA
Source: RNAcentral
AAAUUGAAGAGUUUGAUCAUGGCUCAGAUUGAACGCUGGCGGCAGGCCUAACACAUGCAAGUCGAACGGUAGCAG